This is a long non-coding RNA of Eptesicus fuscus (big brown bat), 372 nucleotides long. RefSeq lists it as uncharacterized. The record is from RefSeq and is a predicted model, not a curated record. The transcript has 3 exons. Lineage: Eukaryota; Metazoa; Chordata; Mammalia; Chiroptera; Vespertilionidae.
GGAGAAGGCCACGGGGACAAUCGGGGGAGCCGUAAAAGCCUGAGCCUCUCUUGGUGCUUUGUGAGUGCGGCCAGCGUUCCGGGCGUUACAUUUGGAGGUUCCACCGAGAUUGCUGCAGCCGCCUUCAGGCUCCAACAGACGCUUCUUGGGGUUAAAGGCUCUGGAAGGGAUCCAGUAAUUUGUCUGAAUGGAAGCCGUUGGCCUCCGCUUAUCAACCAGGAGACCUUAAGGUGCCCCACUCAUUCCGAGUCGGAGACUCGGUACUCAUAAGAAGACACCAGACUCACAGCCUAGAGCCCCGGUGGAAAGGACCCUACGUGGUGCUGCCGACCACCCCGACAGCAGUAAAAGUAGAUGACAUCACGUCUUGGA